GGGCAAGUGGCGGAAUUGGUAGACGCGCUAGGUUGAGGGCCUAGUCUCCGUUUAUUUGGAGGUGGAGGUUCAAGUCCUCUCUUGCCCACCA
This 91-nucleotide transfer RNA is filed under the name bacterium. RNAcentral describes it as "tRNA-Leu". It matches the Rfam family "tRNA". From Rfam's summary of the family: Transfer RNA (tRNA) molecules are approximately 80 nucleotides in length. Their secondary structure includes four short double-helical elements and three loops (D, anti-codon, and T loops). RNAcentral also lists the same sequence under 3 other names. The record is from RNAcentral.